AUGCGUAUACACAGAGGGUUUGCUCUAACUGAGUGACACGGACAUGACCUGUUUUGAUUGCUCAUAAGACAUUGCAUCUUUGCUCUGAUGGACCGUCCGCGUUCUGACCACAUCCUGCUGGUCCUAUGCCUCCUGUUUCUGCUCUGUGUCCAUGGCAACGCUCAAGACCAAGGCCCUACAUGUGAGGUGCGAGUGAUAAGAAACACCAUUUGGAAUGCUGUCCCUCAGAAAGCCCUAACAAUCAACUGCCCUGUGAGGCACUGUGGAGAAAAGCUACACGCCACCUGGUGUAAAUUUGUGGACCCAUUAAACUGUGAACAGAUACAUGAGACAGAGCAAGUCACAUUUGGAUGGAGGCCAAAAAAUAUUUGGAUUUUGUAUUUUAAAAAGAUAUCUAUCAAUGACGAUGGUUUGUACAGAUGUGGAGUUGCUGGAAAUGGGUCAACAACUGUUAGCCAUGCUAUCAAAGUCUCUGUCUCAGGUAACCAACCAAAGCUUAUUUAAUCUUUCAAUCUAAUGUCUUAGAAUGGAUCGAUAGAUACUAAGUUGUUCUGGAAGCCGUUGUUGUCUGACAAACGUCCGGGGGCGGCCUAGGAAAAAAAUUAUGCCCUGGCAUUUUAGCCACACAUUACCGCUUGUGCACCAUCAUGCGCUAUUACAUAUAAAGCCAAUGUAUUAAGGAACUGGCAGUA
Non-coding RNA from Salvelinus sp. IW2-2015, 692 nucleotides. NCBI's taxonomy places the organism in Eukaryota, Metazoa, Chordata, Actinopteri, Salmoniformes, Salmonidae. The record is from RefSeq and is a predicted model, not a curated record.